UACGAGGGGAGCUAGCGUUGUUCGGAAUUACUGGGCGUAAAGGGCGCGUAGGCGGUAUCUUAAGUCAGAUGUGAAAGCCCCAGGCUCAACUUGGGAGGUGCAUUUGAGACUAUGGAACUAGAGAUCGAGAGAGGAAAGUGGAAUUACGAGUGUAGAGGUGAAAUUCGUAGAUAUUCGUAAGAACACCAGUGGCGAAGGCGACUUUCUGGCUCGAUACUGACGCUAAGGCGCGAAAGCGUGGGGAGCAAACAGG
This 253-nucleotide ribosomal RNA is filed under the name uncultured bacterium. Its description in RNAcentral is "partial 16S ribosomal RNA". It matches the Rfam family "Bacterial small subunit ribosomal RNA", at positions 524 to 776 of the family's 1533-position model. The record is from RNAcentral.